CCGGCAUCGCCUCACGCCCCUAGACCUCUGACACUGCAUGGGCAUCUGUGCCCAGCACACAAGUUACAGUGACACACAAGUUAGAGUGAAAUUUUAUUGUGACCUUGAUACAGUUUUUGUGUUCUAGUGAGGCUGAGAAGUAAUGCACCCUAAACAAAAUAAAUAUGCUUAGGGUACCUUAUUUUACCCUACCAAAAUCCAUAUAGCUAUUUUACUGGGGAGAGAUUUCAUAAUUUCCUAUACAUGUUUUUCACAAUGAGCAAACAAUUUUGUUGCUUUCUUUCACUGUUUUCAUGGUAAGGAAAUAUAAAUGUCUUGGUAUGUCAGUUUCUCAUGCAGCCGAAAUCCAUACAUUUUUGUCACUAGUGGUGGCUAUCUGAACAGAUUUCCAGAAAUUAUUUGCUGACAGAGUUCUGACAGGUGAAAAAGUGAAGCUCUGUCAAUCAAAUAUGACAUUUCAUGCAAUUACUUUUUUAAAUGAUAUCUCUCCAUAAAAAGCAUUUCCCAAUUUCUAUUUAUGCUAUGACUCCACUGUUUGUGAAAGGCAUUCUCUGAUCUUGGCUAAUUUUUGCUAGGGUGAUUGGCAAAGAGGCCAGGAUGUGCCUCCAGUGUUUGCUGGGUCGCUGACCUCCAUGUGACUGAUAAGCAUUGGCAAGUUAGCAUGCUACCAGCAGACAGUUAGCUUGGCAGAAAUGUGAACAGGAAGUGGGUAAAUAAUGAAGCAUGUUUUGAUCUUUCUAGACUCCCUUCACCUUGGAAGACAAGCACUGACUUGGUAGCAGUGUUUUGGCUUUUAAGGGUGUAUUCUUCUCCUCUGCCCCAACCCAGUCCUCAGGAAACUGUUGGGAUUAAUAAAAACUGUGGUAUAUUGGGACUUUUCUUGAGAAGGAAACAUCCUGGAUUGUCACAAUGAGUGAUGAUAUUCCUGUCGUCUAUGUUCUGUUCGGACUGGCAAACCAGGCUGCUAUAAUGAUCCAAACGAGUGCAGAGGAGACUUCCUAAAUACAUGGUUGGACUGAAAUUUGACAUA
Molecule: long non-coding RNA, 1030 nt
Filed under: Anas platyrhynchos platyrhynchos (common mallard)
Lineage: Eukaryota; Metazoa; Chordata; Aves; Anseriformes; Anatidae
Description: lncRNA (ENSAPLG00000019828.1)
Source: RNAcentral